CCUACGGGCGGCAGCAGUGGGGAAUAUUGGACAAUGGGCGAAAGCCUGAUCCAGCCAUGCCGCGUGUGUGAAGAAGGCCUUCGGGUUGUAAAGCACUUUCAGUGGGGAAGAAAGCCUUGGGGCUAAUACCCUCGAGGAAGGACAUCACCCACAGAAGAAGCACCGGCUAACUCCGUGCCAGCAGCCGCGGUAAUACGGAGGGUGCGAGCGUUAAUCGGAAUUACUGGGCGUAAAGCGCGCGUAGGCGGUCUGAUAAGCCGGUUGUGAAAGCCCCGGGCUCAACCUGGGAACGGCAUCCGGAACUGUCAGGCUAGAGUGCAGGAGAGGAAGGUAGAAUUCCCGGUGUAGCGGUGAAAUGCGUAGAGAUCGGGAGGAAUACCAGUGGCGAAGGCGGCCUUCUGGACUGACACUGACGCUGAGGUGCGAAAGCGUGGGUAGCAAACAGGAUUAGAACCCUGGUAGUC
Molecule: ribosomal RNA, 464 nt
Filed under: Vreelandella stevensii
Lineage: Bacteria; Pseudomonadati; Pseudomonadota; Gammaproteobacteria; Oceanospirillales; Halomonadaceae
Description: partial 16S ribosomal RNA
Rfam family: Bacterial small subunit ribosomal RNA
Source: RNAcentral